UAUGAUUUUUCGAUAUCAUUUGCCUAGUGAUCGAAGGGGCUCAAAAUUAAUAAUUUUAAUGGCCGUAGUGAGCCGUUUGCAAGUUUAACGGUGUAGAAAUAUCCAAAUCAUGUGAAAUUUUGAUAGAAAAUUCUUUAUACUAUAUAAAAUAAGAUCGAUAUCUUUGAUCUAACAUUUUAAUGUCAUAUUAUCACGUUUUGUAAGAUUUUUAUUUUC
RNAcentral lists this long non-coding RNA (216 nucleotides) under Ananas comosus (pineapple). RNAcentral's name for it is "long non-coding RNA (ACOM_LNC037763)". The record is from RNAcentral. Lineage: Eukaryota; Viridiplantae; Streptophyta; Magnoliopsida; Poales; Bromeliaceae.